Non-coding RNA from Pelobates cultripes (western spadefoot toad), 852 nucleotides. Lineage: Eukaryota; Metazoa; Chordata; Amphibia; Anura; Pelobatidae. The record is from the annotation of a GenBank genome assembly.
GGAAAUAUCCACCAGGGAGAGGCGCGAACCCUAGCCGACACUAUGACACUAGCAGGCGGCUUAACAACCGCAGAGACCGUGCCGACCAAUGGGAGAAGCGCUACCAUUCAAACUGGUUUCGUGUCCUUUCUCCAGAUUGGUUGGCAAAACAUCUCCCCCUCCCUGAAUGCUGAUUGGCCGCUGCAUGUUCGCGCCCUUUCUCCCGAUUGGCUGCCGCUUUCACUGGCCUAAACCAAGUGAUCUUGUGCAACGGUUUUCGGGUAUGUACAGAGCCAUAGAAAUCAUUGUGUAAAGUUUGGGCUCGAGGCUCUGUACAUACUCACAUACUUUGUAAAAGCGGUGGCCAACUGGGAGAAAGGGCGCGAACACAUAGCGGCCAAUCAGCAUUCAGGAAAGGGAGGUGUUUUGCCGGCCAAUCGGGAGAAAGGGUGCAAACAAGCAGCGGCCAAUCAGCAUUCAGGAAGGGGAGGUGUUUUGCCAGCCAAUCGGGAGAAAUGGUGCGAACAAGCAGUAGCCAAUCAGCAUUCAGGGAGGGGAGGUGUUUUGCAGACCAAUCGGGAGAAAGGGCACAAAACCAAUUUGAAUGGUAGCGCUUCUCCCAUUGGUCGGCACGGUCUCUGCGGUUGUAAAGCCGCCUGCUAAUUUCAUAGAGUCGGGUAGGGCUUGCGCCUCUCCGUGGUGGAUAUCUCUAUGUGGGUAGCACCAGGGAAAGCGUUCUUUGAGGUAGGCAAGCUGGGACAAAGGGGUGGCGGGGAGCGGGAGGGCUGCACUCUGUUGGGGAACAUAGUCAUAUUGACACAGUUCGUUACAAUGCCAUACAAAUGUUUCUCUAUGUCUAUAGAAAAGCCUGAC